AACGCACAUUGCGCCCUCCGGUAUUCCGGGGGGCAUGCCUGUUCGAGCGUCAUUACAACCCUCAAGCUUUGCUUGGUAUUGGGUGCUACCGUUUUGGUACACCUUAAAAUCAGUGGCGGUGCCACCUGGCUUCUAGCGUAGUAAUACUCCUCGCUAUGGAGAUGGGCGUGUACUUGCCAUAACCCCCAAUUUUUUUAAGGUUGACCUCGGAUCAGGUAGGGAUACCCGCUGAACUUAA
This 238-nucleotide unclassified non-coding RNA is filed under the name uncultured fungus. Its description in RNAcentral is "sequence contains ITS2". The stretch from base 1 to 52 matches the Rfam family "5.8S ribosomal RNA", at positions 103 to 154 of the family's 154-position model. Lineage: Eukaryota; Fungi. The record is from RNAcentral.